This is a long non-coding RNA of Gallus gallus (chicken), 1833 nucleotides long. RefSeq lists it as uncharacterized. The record is from RefSeq and is a predicted model, not a curated record. The transcript is spliced from 4 exons. NCBI's taxonomy places the organism in Eukaryota, Metazoa, Chordata, Aves, Galliformes, Phasianidae.
AUACAGAGUGUGGAGCACAGCGGAGGAGUGGGAAGAGAAGCAAGAAAAAUGCAAUGGGCCAAGAGUGAGGAGAACUGAUUUUAUCCGAGCAGUAACUUCUGCUGGCUGCAUCUCCUGGAAGGAAAAUGAGCUGGGAUUGCAUUCCUGCAAGCAGUAAUGGGAGGUUUUAACAUCCACGCUGACCAAGCAGCAGGAUGCCAACCCAGUGAUAUAAUUGAAGUCUCCUGGCUCCGAUUUCUACCAUCCUCAUUCUGAUCACUGCGGGAUGAAAGAAGAUAUUUUCGACGUGGGGAAGGAAAUACCCUACUGCAUUGAGCAGGCACAGACCUGACCAGCAUGUGUGGGGAUGUUUGGCACCAGUGCUUCAAAGGAAUACAUUGUUCACUCUGCUGUAAAGAAUUCCAGGCAGACAUGACGAAAGGGACAUUGCAGCUCAAGAAAAGAGACGUCCCGUGCAGCACUGAUGAAACGGUGUUUGGAAACCAGGAGCGAGCAAACAGGAAAGAUCUUUAACCAUUGAGGAGAUGGGAUCCCAGCGUGUUUUUGGCACCGGCGGGAACAAUGGGGUGAUGUCACAAGCCAGAAUUCCCCACGGUGAAUGGAAGCCCAGCAAAUAAUCAUAAUUCUUUUCUUGGUGCAUUAGUGAAAUUUUUCCACCGUUGGUCAUCCCCCACUGAGUCCCUGUUAGGAAGUACAGGAAGGAGACAUUGUCAAAUGGGGUUUCCUUUGGGAGAACCGUGUCUCCUCCUCCCCAUCAGCUGUUAUAAAUCACAGCUUUCUGCUGACUGCAAGGAAUUCCAGCAGAGCAGUGCUUGCUGCCUAAGCAGUGCUUUACCCCGUGAGGAAGGGUGCACAAGGAGUUCUGGAUUCCUGUAGGGCAGAAGCAUCAUUUGCUGUCCAGCACUUUCAGCCUACACAGCAUCAGUAUGGAGCUUCAUCUUUAUAGUUUCAGAAGUGCUGAGAAUGGCAGGGAGCUUAGGAGACACCAUCCUGGCCAAACAUUGUGGUUUGGAGAGUUUCAGCCUGUGGAAGGCUACCAAAUUGUAUGAGCAAUGCUACAGCAUCCUUCAAAUCCUAACCUCACAUUUUUCUUUUGGCUUCAAACCCACGGUGAGUGACCUGAAGUGUACCUGAAGCACCUAGGUGCUUCAGUAUUGGCAAACCCUCAAUAUUUGUGGUCCCCAUCACGUGAGACCCCAACAUUUGGGUGACCCCAUUCCUCUGGGACUCCCAUAUUUGGUGGCUCCGUUUUUCGAAUGCCAACAUUUGGGACCUCCACAUUUGGAGACAUGGACAUUUUGGAAGUCAACCAUUUGUCCUUCCAAUAUUGGUAGCAUCAGUGGUUGAGACCCCGGUAUUUAGGGGGAUCCUUCUUUUUCUGAAGCAGCUCUGGAACUUCUCUAGCUUCUUUUUUUCGGAUAAAGGCUAGACCCACUUUGUAACUGGGGUUGCUAAUCCAUCCUCCCAGGUGAUGUCAGCAUCAGAACAUUACUGGGCUGUUACUCGAAAUCCAGGCAGCUCCCACCUUUCCAAAAUUUGCUCUGCAAGCUGCUGGCUGUGCUCUGUGUGCAGCACACCAACUCCAGGUUGUGACUUUCCCUUUUUUGUGUGUGUGAGCAUUGGUGUUAGUAGACGGGAGGGGUAGGAUGGCCUGUCUGAGUUGAGAUGGGAUUACCCGUUCAACAGCAAAAUGGACAUUAAUGAGUCUAAACCAAAAAGAAGAAUUAAGACCUGAAUGCCUGCAUGGUUUACUGACAACAGAUUUGUCCUUGUUCUAUUGUUUGUCUGUGGUUUGCAUUAUCAGCACCCAAAUAUAGCAUGAGGGGCUGUUUA